RNAcentral lists this ribosomal RNA (377 nucleotides) under uncultured bacterium. RNAcentral describes it as "bacterial SSU rRNA". It matches the Rfam family "Bacterial small subunit ribosomal RNA", at positions 523 to 898 of the family's 1533-position model. The record is from RNAcentral.
AAACGUAGGAGGCGAGCGUUAUCCAGAUUUACUGGGCGUAAAGCGCGUGUAGGCGGCACGGCAAGUUGGAUGUGAAAGCUCCCGGCUUAACUGGGAGAGGUCGUUCAAAACUGCCGAGCUAGAGUGCGGGAGAGGGAGGUGGAAUUCCGGGUGUAGUGGUGAAAUGCGUAGAUAUCCGGAGGAACACCAGUGGCGAAAGCGGCCUCCUGGUCCGCAACUGACGCUCAGACGCGAAAGCUAGGGUAGCAAACGGGAUUAGAGACCCCGGUAGUCCUAGCUGUAAACGAUGUAGACUUGGCGUUGGUGGGUUCAAAUCCAUCAGUGCCGGAGCAAACGCGUUAAGUCUACCGCCUGGGGACUACGGCCGCAAGGUUAAA